UCGUAAUCCGUGCUAGAGUCGUGGGUAAUACGUAUGGUCGAAGCGUUAUCCGGAUGUAUUUGGCGUAAAUCGAGCGCAGACGGUUAUUGAAUUCUGAAGUGAAAGCCCUCAGCUCAACUGAGGAAUGGCUUUGGAAACUGGAUUACUGGAGUGCAGUAGAGGAAAGUGGAACUCCAUGUGUAGCGGUGAAAUGCGUAGAUAUAUGGAAGAACACCAGUGGCGAAGGCGGCUUUCUGGACUGUAACUGACGUUGAGGCUCGAAAGUGUGGGUAGCAAACAGGAUUAGAUACCCUUGUAGUC
Molecule: ribosomal RNA, 300 nt
Filed under: uncultured Lactobacillus sp.
Lineage: Bacteria; Bacillati; Bacillota; Bacilli; Lactobacillales; Lactobacillaceae
Description: bacterial SSU rRNA
Rfam family: Bacterial small subunit ribosomal RNA
Source: RNAcentral